GACGUAGGAGGCGAGCGUUGUCCGGAGUUACUGGGCGUAAAGCGCGCGCAGGCGGUCACGCAGGUCAUCUGUGAAAGCACUCGGCUCAACCGGGAUGUUGCGGGUGAAACCGCGUGACUUGAGGGUGGGAGAGGUCGGUGGAAUUCCCGGGUGUAGCGGUGAAAUGCGUAGAGAUCGGGAGGAAGGCCGGUGGCGAAGGCGGCGCUCUGGAACAUUUCUGA
This 221-nucleotide ribosomal RNA is filed under the name uncultured bacterium. Its description in RNAcentral is "partial 16S ribosomal RNA". It matches the Rfam family "Bacterial small subunit ribosomal RNA", at positions 524 to 743 of the family's 1533-position model. The record is from RNAcentral.